This 229-nucleotide ribosomal RNA is filed under the name uncultured bacterium. RNAcentral's name for it is "partial 16S ribosomal RNA". It matches the Rfam family "Bacterial small subunit ribosomal RNA", at positions 568 to 796 of the family's 1533-position model. The record is from RNAcentral.
UCCGUAGGCGGAUUGAUAAGUCAGAGGUGAAAUCCCACAGCUUAACUGUGGAACUGCCUUUGAAACUGUUAGUCUUGAGUUAUACGGAAGUAGAUAGAAUGUGUAGUGUAGCGGUGAAAUGCAUAGAGAUUACACAGAAUACCGAUUGCGAAGGCAGUCUACUACGUAUAUACUGACGCUAAUGGACGAAAGCGUGGGGAGCGAACAGGAUUAGAUACCCUGGUAGUCC